This 3477-nucleotide long non-coding RNA is filed under the name Gallus gallus (chicken). The record is from RNAcentral. Lineage: Eukaryota; Metazoa; Chordata; Aves; Galliformes; Phasianidae.
AAAAAAAAGAAAAUCCAAACAAAACAAAACCCCAACCUGUUUUACAUAAAAUGUACUGAAGAAUUAAAGGCUAUUCAGGUUUUCAAUGUUAUAAAAUUCUCUUGUCUUUCUUUUUCAGGCACAUAUUGUAUUUUUUGUCUGCAGUCAUGAGCCUGAAGCAAAGAGGCCCAUAAAACAAAACAAAACAAAAACACAUAUUCUGAAAGGAGCCUACACCGUGGAGGUUUUAACGGAAGAAGCUACUGCCAACCUGACUGAGCUGCAGCUGCAGUAGGAAGGGAACGCGAGAAACAGGCAUUAUAUCUGCAAUUCCUUCAAAAUAGUGGUGCAGUACCUAAACAAAAUCAUUUUGGAGUUCAAGUAAGUAAAACUACACUUGCUAGUAGCAAUUUUUAACAGCCCCAAAUGGUACCAUUAUGCUUAUUUUAAUGAGACAGAAGUGUACUUUACCACAAAUACGGGUUAGUAAGACUGAAAUGUUUGGUAGUAACUGAAAAUAUGUGCUCUACUCGCGGGGCGAAACCAUCUUUGCCCUACCUCAGUCUCAUCGAAUUCAACAGGAUUACUCGUCUUACAGAGGUAAGUGAGAUUUAGGCCUUGAAGGAUUAACAAAAAUAAUAUUUUGGAGACAGGGAAUUUGAAUUAUCACAAUAUUUACCACACAGUGUCACAAUAUUUCUAUAUAUAAAAAGUUAAUCUUAGAUUUCAUCAAAUACUUUAAAAAUCAAGUUAAAAUCGUAUUCACAACUAUAUAAUCCCUCUGACAGCUUUUGGUUUUGCUGAUAUUUGUUCUUUCUAACAUCUUUUCCUUAAAAUCUUGCUCCUCUUCCCACCAAUGUUAGUCGUAGCGUACACAGUACGGCCCCCGUUCACAGAAGAUAUCAAAUACAGAUGCAUUUUUAAGAGGAGCUAACUAUUUUCUACCGAGACAUCGUAUGGGAGAAAAACAAAACAAAGCAACCCUGUGUUUUGAGCAGCGCUGGCCGGAGUUUCUCCAACAGCACCUUCAUCCACAACGCUCACACUUAGCAGUUCAAUGCUUAAAAGCACACCGUCACGCUUACCCUACCUAUCGUCUGUUCUCCCUUUCCAUCUUGUUUUACGCAGCUGACCUUCAGCACGCACAGUUUUGUAAACAAAGUCUUCCACCUAAACAAAAAAAUCCUCACAGACACUGAAAUAUUAUUAGAGGAGAACAAUAAAGCCACAUUUGCCCACUGUCUGAAAUUGUGCAGUGCGUGGAUCUCAUUAUGCAGAUGCACGGCUGGAUGAAGAGAAUAUAAAUGCGAACCGUUUUCGUUUUUCUAUCAUAGACAAACCAGCAGCUGGUUUGUGGCGCUGUCAGAAAUGGCAACCAGUGCGCCAUUCUCCAGCAGGUUGAUCAUUAGCAAAAUUACCUUGCUAUAAACGGUGCUCUUUUGUGAAUGGAGGCCUGUAUUUUCAACUUAUUCCAAUAAACCAAAGGCAUUACGGUGAUAACUAAAUAUUUUUGGUCUCUCUACAAAUUGUCAUUAUUAUGGCAGCACUUUUCUAAGCUGGAAUUUCAAACCAAAGGCACUUUCAUGCUAGAGUGCAGAAGAGUCACAAUUAAUUAUUUGGUCAUGAAAUUUUAAAAGGCAGCAUUAUCAAUACAAUUCACUUUUCACGGAGAACUAUGGAUCUGUAACCUUUCCUUUUGGUAUAGACACUUAAUCGCGUAGCGAUGGGACUGGCUGGUACUGAGGGUUGGUUUAGACCAAGCAGUCAAGGAGUUUUUUUCUGCGGGGAAAAAUACAGUUUAUUCAAAAAUGGAACCAAUUAAUAAAACAACGUAUCAAAUUUAUGUUAAGAGGCUAAAGGUAUUUCUAAUAUAACGCUAAGGCACUGCAUAUUGUAAUGCUUUGGCAGCUCUCAAUUAAAAGAUUCCUACAAAAAGUAACAGUAACAAGAUAAAUACUUCCAGCUUACAAAAGAGCUCACAGUUUACAGGCAGCCUGUUGGACUACACACCACACACCGAACAGUUGAAGGAUUAAGGCUUUUAAGAAUUAACAUAUACAGGGUAUGGAUCAUUUACAGAAGUGUAAAGAAAAGAUGAAGGAAGUAGUUUCCCUAAUAUUACAUAUGUGAACACCAAUAAACGUUGUGACUUUUUAUACCCUAUAGUUACGACGUAUGUAGUGUGCCAGAUUCUAUUACAAAAACUGUACCUGGUUUUGCAAAUUGACUUACAUACUCGAUACGCCUCAAAGAGUUCGCUUGUUAUUAAAACAAAAAAUCACCAAAACCACAAUUCAAACCCUAAAUAAAAGACAACUUUAGAACAAAAUAAAACAAAAAAAGUAGUUUUUGACUUGUAACACCAAGUGCUUAGAAUAAAGGGCUACCGUUAGGCUGUUACAAUGCAGUGCUUUUCCUGAUGUGAUUGUUAGUGUUAAAAAUGAGUGUUAAGAGACCCUACCAUGGACAUAUUUCACUGUUCUGUUCACAGAAUAUAAACUGAAAGAUCAUCAGCCCUAAUAUCCACAGCUAGACAUCACAGCAAUCAUCCACCUACUAGAGUUGGAUCAGUGGCAGGCCGAGGCAUUUGAGCAGUCUCCCUUCCCCUCAGAUGUCUGUACGGUGAGUCCACAACAACCCACCACUGGGUCGAGGCGAUGUUCUGGUCUAGAGAAAUUCAGUUACUGGCAGUACUGAGAGAGCACAACACGAUUUUUAAGAAAUCCAGAAAUGGAGACAUUUUCAAAGACCGCGGCGCUGUUGCCACGGAGUGAGUUCUAGACAUAAAUCACGCAUGGGCACGUAAAGGGCAGUGAGGAGGGAGCUGUUAAAUGUUAACUUCUUUGAUUUAGAGCUGCAAAAGACCUUCCCAAGAACGCUCUUUGCUGAUACCUCAUGACUGACCUUUAAGGUGGCUUGCGCUUGGCCAAGCAGUCCUGAGCCUUUCAGACAAAUGUUUUGCACGGGGACCCACUGCUGGCCCAGCACCUGCUGAAACAACUGCUGCCUGGGCAGCUGAAGGACAGUGCUGGGUGUGCAGAAGAAAAGAAACUGAGGAACACUCUGGCUUAGGUAGGAAGAAUGAGAAUACUUAUCUCACAUGUGCGUACCUCAGAUAAUCAUUCACACCCACAUCCUUGUUUUGAAUCUGCACAGUAUUAAAAUAUCUCCAGCUGCACUUCACUUCCUGGAGUCUUCCCUGAUAUAGCAGAAGGAUGAAUACUACCACAUCCAGAUGCAAAAAAGAUAUCAGGACCCACGUGGUACGUACGUGUUUGUUUCGUGUAAGGUCUUUGCCAGUAGGAACUGGAGAGAGAACUGGAGAGAGGUGUUAGAGCACCAUGAUAAAAAGGAAGAGGAGAAAAAAAAAUCUCCGCUUUCCAAACCUCUUUGCCUGGUAUUGCUUGUGAUUUUCUAGCAUCUCAUAGAUAUUAAAGCUGCUGAUCCUUUCAGAAGCGUAUGCAUUCUUCUCUCAAACACUUUCGUGUUUUGCUUUCA